This 717-nucleotide long non-coding RNA is filed under the name Junco hyemalis (dark-eyed junco). Its description in RNAcentral is "lncRNA (ENSJHYG00000001640.1)". The record is from RNAcentral. Lineage: Eukaryota; Metazoa; Chordata; Aves; Passeriformes; Passerellidae.
CCGCGCAGCCCCUCAGGAGGGGCCGGAAUGGCGCGGUCGCGGCUCCCCCUCACGCCGGAGCGCGGCAGGGCCAGGCCGUGGGCCGGGCCGGAGCCUUUCCCCGGCCAUGGCAGCGAGGGCGGGCCCGGAAGGGGAGCGGCCGCCGCCCGCCUCACUUCCCCGGCUGUCGGGCGGGGCGGCAGCGCGGGCAGCGGGCGGGCACCAUGCUGCAGUUCUUGCUUGGUUUUACUCUUGGCAACGUGGUUGGGAUGUAUCUGGCACAGAACUAUGAUAUUCCUAACAUUGCAAAGAAGCUGGAAGAUUUUAAGAAGGAUGUGGAAGCCAAGAAGAAACCUCCCAAUGACAAGUCCUGAAAGAGAAAUGUUCCCCAGGUCAACUCUGUGUGUGCAGCAAGGAUGCAAUUUUUACCUUUCAGGCAGCAAAGGAAACACUCCAAGAAACUCUGACAGGGAGAAAUGGUUGUACCACCUGAACCCAGCUAUCAGAAGCCCUGUGGUAGCAGCAUGUGUGGAAGAUAACCAGAGAGAUUUCCAUUACCUUCAGACUUCAGACCUGACUGAAGGGAUUUUCUUCCAUGCCCAAAAGUGUUUCCCUAGAGUGAUAGUGCUGCACAGCUGUUUUGAUGUUUUCAUGAACAUGAUGAACUUAGGUUUCCCCCAACUUCCUCUCCCUCCCCUCCCUUUCCUAUUCUUGAGCAUUGAAAAAUACUGUCUCUAA